This 247-nucleotide ribosomal RNA is filed under the name uncultured bacterium. RNAcentral describes it as "partial 16S ribosomal RNA". It matches the Rfam family "Bacterial small subunit ribosomal RNA", at positions 111 to 353 of the family's 1533-position model. The record is from RNAcentral.
UAACGCGUGGGUAACCGUGCCUUGUACUGGGGGACGAACAGUUAGAAAUGACUGCUAAUACCGCAUAAGCGCACAGUAUCGCAUGAUACAGUGUGAAAAAACUCCGGUGGUACAAGAUGGACCCGCGUCUGAUUAGCUAGUUGGUAAGGUAACGGCUUACCAAGGCGACGAUCAGUAGCCGACCUGAGAGGGUGACCGGCCACAUUGGGACUGAGACACGGCCCAAACUCCUACGGGAGGCAGCAUG